AUUGAACGCUGGCGGCAGGCUUAACACAUGCAAGUCGAACGGUAACAUAAAGAAGCUUGCUUCUUUGAUGACGAGUGGCGGACGGGUGAGUAAUGCUUGGGAAUCUAGCUUAUGGAGGGGGAUAACUACGGGAAACUGUAGCUAAUACCGCGUAAUAUCGAAAGAUUAAAGUGUGGGACCUUCGGGCCACAUGCCAUAGGAUGAGCCCAAGUGGGAUUAGGUAGUUGGUGAGGUAAAGGCUCACCAAGCCGACGAUCUCUAGCUGGUCUGAGAGGAUGACCAGCCACACUGGGACUGAGACACGGCCCAGACUCCUACGGGAGGCAGCAGUGGGGAAUAUUGCGCAAUGGGGGCAACCCUGACGCAGCCAUGCCGCGUGAAUGAAGAAGGCCUUCGGGUUGUAAAGUUCUUUCGGUAGCGAGGAAGGCACUUAGUUUAAUAGACUAGGUGAUUGACGUUAACUACAGAAGAAGCACCGGCUAACUCCGUGCCAGCCGCCGCAGUAA
RNAcentral lists this ribosomal RNA (506 nucleotides) under uncultured bacterium. RNAcentral describes it as "partial 16S ribosomal RNA". It matches the Rfam family "Bacterial small subunit ribosomal RNA", at positions 30 to 523 of the family's 1533-position model. The record is from RNAcentral.